CAGGAUGAACGCUGGCGGCGUGCCUAAUACAUGCAAGUCGAACGCACAGCGAAAGGUGCUUGCACCUUUCAAGUGAGCGGCGAACGGGUGAGUAACACGUGGAUAACCUACCUCAAGGUUGGGGAUAACAUUUGGAAACAGAUGCUAAUACCGAAUAAAACUUCGUAUCGCAUGAUACAAGGAUAAAAGGCGCUACGGCGUCACCUAGAGAUGGAUCCGCGGAGCAUUAAUUAGUAGGUGGGGUAAAGGCCUACCAAGACGAUGAUGCAUAGCCGAGUUGAGAGACUGAUCGGCCACAUUGGGACUGAGACACGGCCCAAACUCCUACGGGAGGCUGCAGUAGGGAAUCUUCCACAAUGGGCGAAAGCCUGAUGGAGCAACGCCGCGUGUGUGAUGAAGGCUUUCGGGUCGUAAAGCACUGUUGUAUGGGAAGAACAGCUAGAGUAGGGAAUGACUUUAGUUUGACGGUACCAUACCAGAAAGGGACGGCUAAAUACGUGCCAGCAGCCGCGGUAAUACGUAUGUCCCGAGCGUUAUCCGGAUUUAUUGGGCGUAAAGCGAGCGCAGACGGUUGAUUAAGUCUGAUGUGAAAGCCCGGAGCUCAACUCCGGAAAGGCAUUGGAAACUGGUCAACUUGAGUGCAGUAGAGGUAAGUGGAACUCCAUGUGUAGCGGUGGAAUGCGUAGAUAUAUGGAAGAACACCAGCGGCGAAGGCGGCUUACUGGACUGUAACUGACGUUGAGGCUCGAAAGUGUGGGUAGCAAACAGGAUUAGAUACCCUGGUAGUCCACACCGUAAACGAU
This 803-nucleotide ribosomal RNA is filed under the name uncultured bacterium. RNAcentral describes it as "bacterial SSU rRNA". It matches the Rfam family "Bacterial small subunit ribosomal RNA", at positions 25 to 810 of the family's 1533-position model. The record is from RNAcentral.